Long non-coding RNA from Paramacrobiotus metropolitanus, 1446 nucleotides. RefSeq lists it as uncharacterized. The transcript is spliced from 3 exons. The record is from RefSeq and is a predicted model, not a curated record. NCBI's taxonomy places the organism in Eukaryota, Metazoa, Tardigrada, Eutardigrada, Parachela, Macrobiotidae.
CCUCUGUUAACGUUAUAAAAUUUAAAUUUACAGGUAGUACAGAAUAUUCAUAAGAAAAACACAGUUAGAAAGGUUUUUUUAUGAUCGCACCGCAAUGGUGUAUCAGGAUGGCAUUUAAUUGGUAAACCGAACACAUAAUAUUAUUAUAAUUGCUCAUAUGGUCAGCUGGAAUUAUUUUUCCAUAUCAGUCGAGAUGCCCUUGACCAGUUGUUGCAAGAAUUUAUUUGCUUGAUCCCGGAAUCUUCUUCCCGUUGGCAAACGUCGAUGUUGCCGCUACUCUGAUUGUAAAUUAGGACGUAUUUGUACGCACAGAAAAAUCCAGCAUAAUGGAUUGUAAAGAACCCAUAGUCAAAUGCCUUUAUCCCACGUUGAGAUAAUCAGUCUGCUUACGAGGUUAGCGGAAGAGGAAUGCCUUGUGAUAAUGCCGAAUUCAAGCAAAACAAAAUCUAUAAAAGAGUCUCCUCCCCUACAAGCUUCGCAUUCAACCAAGUCAGAUAUCACCAAAAGUUUUCGGGAGAGUUUACAGAGACGAGGGGCUCAACGACGGAAAACAAAAGAAAUACAAUGGACUCUGGAGUAUUUCCUGCGUAACCUUGACAUGGAAGACAAAAAGUUGCGAAUGGACCAGCUUAUCGUGCUGUUCGACGAAUUUGACGAAGUUUUCGAUUUUGGAGACGACGAAUUAAUGCAACUCGAUCUGAAGCAAUGGAUUCAAGACUCGCUAGAUCCCGAAAAAGAGGAGAAUAUUAUUAUACGAGAGGCUGUAAUAACAAGAAUACGCCACAUCUUUCCUGAACUUGUCUGCGUAAAGGUUACCGAACUAUAAGUCAGCAGGUCAAUAAUUAUUCAUCUGUGCUUGCUGAAGAUUAACGUUUUAUUUAUUAAAAACUGGUGUUGUUUAAAAAACAUUAAUUAAAUUAUAAGUCAUUUUUGAGUUUUAGUUGCAGUUGUUUUUAUGAUUACGCAAACGCUAUCUGCGAUCUCAAAAUCAAUUUUAAUAAUUUUGGCAUUGGCAGUUUGUGUCUAAGGCACCAGCGACCGCUUAAACGGUAGUAAGGAUUAGAUUCAACUUCAUAACAUACAAAUAAAAAAAAACGAAAAAUCAUACACAACAGGUACAACAACGCAUACAUAUUACGGAAUCGGGUCAAAAUUACAAGGGUAGUGUGUGUACUACACUAACGCUCACAGACAACAAUACUUCCAUAGGAAUCAAUAGUGUAAACCAUUGCAAAAAAACUCCUUCAGAAAUUCUCACGCAUAAAAUACAUUAUACACAACCAUCCUUUAUCCGGCCCAGAGCCACUCUCCAGCUGCUCCAGUCCACCGGGAGAAACGAGCACCACUUGCCAGAGGUCAAUCGCACUCUGGGACAAAACAGGGAACCGUCUGCCAACAGCCAACAUCCCGGUACGGCAUCCAUAUUCCCCUCCAUCGAAAGACAAA